Molecule: long non-coding RNA, 2428 nt
Organism: Bubalus bubalis (water buffalo)
Lineage: Eukaryota; Metazoa; Chordata; Mammalia; Artiodactyla; Bovidae
Exons: 2
Source: RefSeq, a predicted model, not a curated record
CAGCUCUUUGCAUCAGGUGGCCAAAGUAUUGGAGCUUCAGCAUCAGUCCUUGCAAUGAAUAUUCAGGGUUGACUUCCUUUAGGAUGGACUGGUUUGAUCUCCUUGCUGUCCAAGGGACUCUCCUAAGGUCAGGGAUGCUACAAAUGUCCUGCAAUACACAGGAUGAGCCGCCCAACUAAGGAACACCCACACAGCCCAGUGUCUGUAGGUUGAGAAAGCCUGCCUUGGGAGAUAGUUCAGUGUGGGAGAGAAAGAGAGGUUGGUGAGGGAAGGUGGGGGUUGAUCUGUACCUGGUUUGGGGAAAGGUUUGGGGAGGAGGAGCCAGAAGAGGGGAUAACUUGAGGUGGGGCCGGGGCCUAGGUGGCUUCCUAAGGACUGUGGGGCUAUAUACCUGAGCCUAUUACACACCAGCCGGGCAGCGCCCAGCCCUUGGCACUGGCCACCUUCCUUCCUCUUCAUAAAAAGUAGCCCACGAGGGAGGGCAGUGGCAAACAUCCAGUUCACAGAUAAGUCAUCAGCUACUCAGAAGGUGCAGACAUGUCCCACCCCCUCCACCCCUCGCUGCCUCUGCACGAAGGAGGCAGACAGGGUGAGGCUCUGAGACCCAUGAUGCCUGCGCUGCCUUCCUGUGGCACCACCCGGGGACUGUCCUGCCAUCCCGUGCAUCACACAGCGAGGUGGAGACAGACUAGCACAGGAUUCAUUGUCUGAGCAGUUUCCUAAGGGGAAAAGGUUUGUUUGCACACGUAGCUGACCUUUGAUGUCUAUAAAUGGAGUCUCUCUGGAAUUGGAAAAUUAAAAGGCCAUGUGGUGAUGAAAAGAGAUGUAGCUGAUGAAGAUGGAAAGGAGGAAAGACAGCACCUUUGUGGCCACCCUUGGCAGAGAAGUACUUAGCAGGCAGGCCCCAGCUAGGAUGGCGCUGCAGGAUGCACGACCUUGUCAAGUGGAAAAAUGUGAUUGGCCCAACCACAUCCCCCUCUCCCCACUCCCACCCUGAGAAUUUUCCCACUGAUUUCAGCUAGAAUUACCAGCAUGGGAUGAAGCUCUUUAAUGGCUUAUAUUCUUGUUUUUAUCUAAAAACGUCUGUCUCUUGCCUGCACCUGAGCAGAUGCUCACAUUGCCCCACCCCACCCUCUAGGCCACUGCAGGGGGCCAUUCUGGGCUUCUCCAAGGCUUCACGUUAGUAUUACUUGUUUCAGUGCUGUGUCUGUGUUGCGAUGAAUUUAAUGAGCAGCUCUCAUCCUGGUAAAUCAGUGCUUUGCAAACUCUGAUUUGAAUCACUCAGGGAUCUUGUUAAACUAUAGGUUCUGAAACAGUGGGUCUGGGAUAGGAUUCUGCAUUUUCAGUAAACUCCUGGGUGAUGACUUGGCCAGCCUUGGACUUUGAGAAACAAGAGUCUAAAGCUGAGUGUUCUGCAUCUUGUCACUGUAAUGCGUGUUGGCCUUCUCUCUCCCUGGUUACAGCGAACAGAGUACAUUUCUAGAAUAGAUUACAGGUAUUGAAUUGUUUUACUUUCUUCCCUAGCUCUUAUUUUUCCUGUCAUAAUUCCUAAAGCAUAAUUAGUGGUAGGCAAGUGUGUUAGCACGCCACCUGUUCACACCCUCACCUCCACGGUCCUGCCCUUCAGAUUUGUUUUCUUUUUGAAAGUAGAGCACCGCUUUCUUACCUUCAACAGGAUCAUCACAGGUCUGCUUUCCUGUUGCUAUGGAGACCAUUCUGACUUCACUUUUCCCGUCCCCUCUUCCCUACUCUUACCCCCCCCCCAUAUUCCUUAAUUUGCUGCACCAUUCCGCUGUUGUCAUGGGGAUGAAAUGACCAUUUAUUUAAAUUGGCAUCUCCAAUAAAAGGGCAGCUGAGAAAUCCACGUUAGUGAAACCCAACUUGGAGCAUAGAUGAGGAACAGCAGAGCACGUGCAUGUGUAGUCUGCCUGUUUCAAUUGCUGUCUCUCUGAGCUUCAUCUUGCAGCAAGUAUCCCAAGUCUAGAUCAAGGGACACAUCAGCAUCUUAAAAUCAGUUCACAGAAAAGGAAAGAGCCUAUUGGACCUACGUGAACUUUUUAGCUUGGCAGGAUGCUUGUGAGGAAGGCAGAGACCUGAGCAGAGGCUCCGUCACCCUAAUGCUGACCCCACUGAGCUUCGGACAAGGCAGGUGUAAUGUCCAUGUUUGUGUCCUCAUCUAUAAAAACCUGAAGUAGGAGUCCUGACCUCCUGCAGAGAGAGUGUCUGCAGACUGCUUGGAGAGUGACAGCGGGCAACAGCGAGUGUGCAAUUUACAGAGUUCUAUUUAUAGGUCACCCUUCAGGCUGAAAUGGAUUUGUCAUUGUCCUCCAGGCCCUCUCUUUCUACUUGGCCUGUAAGGGGCACACACUGGACCCAUCUGUGAAAUGAUUGGGGUGGUGGUGGGAUGCGGGGAGGGGCGUCUCCAGGG